GCUGGUUAUUCAGGAAAAGGAUCUAAGUCCAAUUUUAAUCCUUAACAUAAUAUAAAUUAUACUCGCAGGCUUAAAAUUCACUCAAAUAAGGUACAGCCUAUUUGAGACAGGAGACAACCUAUGAUAUAGGGUAAUGCUUAAACCAAUGUGACUAAGUGGGCCCAAAAGCAGCCAUCUUUAAAAAAGCGUUAAAGCUUUACCACGCCUAAUUACUAAUUCCAACCUAACCCCCAAACCCUUCACCCAUACUGAAUGACUCUAUACUUUUAUAGAAACCCUCAUGCUAGAACUAGUAACAAGAAUUCAUAUUCUCCCACAAAUGUAAGUGUAAGCCAAAAUGGACUCUCCACCGGCACUCACCGCUAAUGAACCAACAGUAGCAACCCACAAGAAAACCCUACUCCACACAGCGUUAACCUUACACAAGAACUUUUCUGGAAAGAUUAAAAAAAGAGGAAGGAACUCGGCAAACAUUAACCCCGCCUG
Molecule: ribosomal RNA, 486 nt
Filed under: Hylophorbus sp. 'Cape Nelson'
Lineage: Eukaryota; Metazoa; Chordata; Amphibia; Anura; Microhylidae
Description: partial large subunit ribosomal RNA
Source: RNAcentral